ACAUGCAGUCGAGCGGGGUGAUGGUGCUUGCACUAUCACUUAGCGGCGGACGGGUGAGUAAUACUUAGGAAUCUGCCUAUUAAUGGGGGACAACAUCUCGAAAGGGAUGCUAAUACCGCAUACGCCCUACGGGGGAAAGCAGGGGAUCACUUGUGACCUUGCGUUAAUAGAUGAGCCUAAGUCGGAUUAGCUAGUUGGUGGGGUAAAGGCCUACCAAGGCGACGAUCUGUAGCGGGUCUGAGAGGAUGAUCCGCCACACUGGGACUGAGACACGGCCCAGACUCCUACGGGAGGCAGCAGUGGGGAAUAUUGGACAAUGGGGGGAACCCUGAUCCAGCCAUGCCGCGUGUGUGAAGAAGGCCUUAUGGUUGUAAAGCACUUUAAGCGAGGAGGAGGAGCUCUAGGCUAAUAUCCUAGAUGCUUGGACGUUACUCGCAGAAUAAGCACCGGCUAACUCUGUGCCAGCAGCCGCGGUAAUACAGAGGGUGCGAGCGUUAAUCGGAUUUACUGGGCGUAAAGCGUACGUAGGCGGCUUAUUAAGUCGGAUGUGAAAUCCCUGAGC
RNAcentral lists this ribosomal RNA (562 nucleotides) under bacterium amp-w-58. Its description in RNAcentral is "bacterial SSU rRNA". It matches the Rfam family "Bacterial small subunit ribosomal RNA", at positions 53 to 608 of the family's 1533-position model. The record is from RNAcentral.